GGAGGCAUAGCUCAGUUGGGAGAGCGCGCGCUUCACACGCGUGAGGUCAUGGGUUCGAGUCCCCUUGUCUCCA
Molecule: transfer RNA, 73 nt
Filed under: Clostridiales bacterium
Lineage: Bacteria; Bacillati; Bacillota; Clostridia; Eubacteriales
Description: tRNA-Val
Rfam family: tRNA
About the family: Transfer RNA (tRNA) molecules are approximately 80 nucleotides in length. Their secondary structure includes four short double-helical elements and three loops (D, anti-codon, and T loops).
Source: RNAcentral